Molecule: ribosomal RNA, 373 nt
Filed under: uncultured organism
Description: partial 16S ribosomal RNA
Rfam family: Bacterial small subunit ribosomal RNA
Source: RNAcentral
GUAGGGUGGGCAAGCGUUGUCCGGAAUUAUUGGGCGUAAAGCGCGCGCAGGCGGUCCUUUAAGUCUGAUGUGAAAGCCCACGGCUCAACCGUGGAGGGUCAUUGGAAACUGGGGGACUUGAGUACAGAAGAGGAAAGCGGAAUUCCAAGUGUAGCGGUGAAAUGCGUAGAGAUUUGGAGGAACACCAGUGGCGAAGGCGGCUUUCUGGUCUGUAACUGACGCUGAGGCGCGAAAGCGUGGGGAGCAAACAGGAUUAGAUACCCUGGUAGUCCACGCCGUAAACGAUGAGUGCUAAGUGUUAGGGGGUUUCCGCCCCUUAGUGCUGCAGCUAACGCAUUAAGCACUCCGCCUGGGGAGUACGGCCGCAAGGCUA